This 433-nucleotide ribosomal RNA is filed under the name uncultured bacterium. RNAcentral describes it as "partial 16S ribosomal RNA". It matches the Rfam family "Bacterial small subunit ribosomal RNA", at positions 29 to 507 of the family's 1533-position model. The record is from RNAcentral.
AGCGAACGCUGGCGGCAGGCUUAACACAUGCAAGUCGAGCGGGCACUUCGGUGUCAGCGGCAGACGGGUGAGUAACACGUGGGAACGUACCCUUUGGUUCGGAAUAACGCUGGGAAACUAGCGCUAAUACCGGAUACGCCCUUUUGGGGAAAGGCUUGCUGCCGAAGGAUCGGCCCGCGUCUGAUUAGCUAGUUGGUGGGGUAAUGGCCUACCAAGGCGACGAUCAGUAGCUGGUCUGAGAGGAUGAUCAGCCACACUGGGACUGAGACACGGCCCAGACUCCUACGGGAGGCAGCGGUGGGGAAUAUUGGACAAUGGGCGCAAGCCUGAUCCAGCCAUGCCGCGUGAGUGAUGAAGGCCUUAGGGUUGUAAAGCUCUUUUGUCCGGGACGAUAAUGACGGUACCGGAAGAAUAAGCCCCGGCUAACUUCGUG